RNAcentral lists this ribosomal RNA (433 nucleotides) under uncultured bacterium. RNAcentral's name for it is "partial 16S ribosomal RNA". It matches the Rfam family "Bacterial small subunit ribosomal RNA", at positions 29 to 507 of the family's 1533-position model. The record is from RNAcentral.
AACGAACGCUGGCGGCAUGCCUAACACAUGCAAGUCGAACGAGACCUUCGGGUCUAGUGGCGCACGGGUGCGUAACGCGUGGGAACCUGCCCUUAGGUUCGGAAUAACUCCCCGAAAGGGGUGCUAAUACCGGAUAAUGUCUUCGGACCAAAGAUUUAUCGCCUUUGGAUGGGCCCGCGUUGGAUUAGCCAGUUGGUAGGGUAAAAGCCUACCAAGGCGACGAUCCAUAGCUGGUCUGAGAGGAUGAUCAGCCACACUGGGACUGAGACACGGCCCAGACUCCUACGGGAGGCAGCAGUGGGGAAUAUUGGACAAUGGGCGAAAGCCUGAUACAGCAAUGCCGCGUGAGUGAUGAAGGCCUUAGGGUUGUAAAGCUCUUUUACCCGGGAUGAUAAUGACAGUACCGGGAGAAUAAGCACCGGCUAACUCCGUG